RNAcentral lists this ribosomal RNA (456 nucleotides) under Pseudomonas sp. RKBH-B110. RNAcentral's name for it is "bacterial SSU rRNA". It matches the Rfam family "Bacterial small subunit ribosomal RNA", at positions 9 to 465 of the family's 1533-position model. The record is from RNAcentral. Lineage: Bacteria; Pseudomonadati; Pseudomonadota; Gammaproteobacteria; Pseudomonadales; Pseudomonadaceae.
GAGUUUGAUCCUGGCUCAGAUUGAACGCUGGCGGCAGGCCUAACACAUGCAAGUCGAGCGGAUGAGUGGAGCUUGCUCCAUGAUUCAGCGGCGGACGGGUGAGUAAUGCCUAGGAAUCUGCCUGGUAGUGGGGGACAACGUUUCGAAAGGAACGCUAAUACCGCAUACGUCCUACGGGAGAAAGUGGGGGAUCUUCGGACCUCACGCUAUCAGAUGAGCCUAGGUCGGAUUAGCUAGUUGGUGAGGUAAAGGCUCACCAAGGCGACGAUCCGUAACUGGUCUGAGAGGAUGAUCAGUCACACUGGAACUGAGACACGGUCCAGACUCCUACGGGAGGCAGCAGUGGGGAAUAUUGGACAAUGGGCGAAAGCCUGAUCCAGCCAUGCCGCGUGUGUGAAGAAGGUCUUCGGAUUGUAAAGCACUUUAAGUUGGGAGGAAGGGCAGUAAGUUAAUACC